UUUUUGGGGUACAACCAUAGGAAGUGUGAUCCCCAGACCCUUUUUGGGGUACAACCGUGGGAAAUGGGGUCCCCAGAGCCAUUUUUGGGGUAGAACCAAGAGAAAAGGGGGGGGUUCCCUGCUCCAAUUUGGAGCGUGUCACCAUGCAGACACCGCCAUGUUGUCACCGCCACAUUGUCACCACCACAUUGUCACCAUAGACACUGCCACGUUGUCACUGCCACAUUGUCACCAUAGACACUGCCACAUUGUCACCCCACAGACACCUCCAUGUUGUCACCGCCACGUUGUCACCACGUUAUCACCAGACACCGCCAUGUUGUCACCACCACACUGUCACCAUGCCGACACCGCCACGUUGUCACCAGACACUGCCGUGUUGCCACCAUACGGACACCGCCACGUUGUCACCACCACGUUGUCACCAUACAGACACCGCCAUCUUGUCACCACCAUGCUGUCACCAUACAGACACUGCCAUGUUGUCACCCCAGACGCCACCAUCUUGUCACCGCCACGUUGUCACCACCACGCUGUCACCACCACAUUGUCACCAUACAGACACCACCACAUUGUCACCGCCAUGUUGUCACUGCCACGUUAUCACCACCACGCCGUCACCAUACAGACACCACCACGUUGUCACCACGCUGUCACCAGACACCGCCAUGUUGUCACCGCCACGUUGUCACCAUACAGACACCACCAUCUUAUCACCACCAUUGUCACCAUACAGACACCGCCAUCUUGUCACCGCCACAUUGUCACCACACAGACACCACCACGUUGUCACCAGACACCGCCACGUUGUCACUGCCACCUUGUCACCAUACAGACACCGCCAGGUUGUCACCGCCAGGUUGUCACCGCCAGGUUGUCACCAUACAGACACCGCCAUCUUGUCACUGCCACGUCGUCACCAUACAGACACCGCCACAUUGUCACCACCAUAUUGACACCAGACACCACCACAUUGUCACCGCCACCUUGUCACCAUACAGACACCGCCAUCUUGUCACCACCAUUGUCACCAUACAGACACCGCCACGUUGUCACCGCCACAUUGUCACCAUACAGACACCACCACGUUGUCACUGCCACAUUGUCACCAUACAGACACCGCCAUCUUGUCACCACCAUUGUCACCAUACAGACACCACCACGUUGUCACCGCCACCUUGUCACCAUACAGACACCGCCAGGUUGUCACCGCCAUGUUGUCACUGCCACAUUGUCACCAUACAGACACCGCCAUCUUGUCACCGCCAUGUUGUCACCGCCAUCUUGUCACUCCCGUUUCAGGGCCGGGGGCCGUUGGCAGCGCCGCCAGCGGCGGUAGUUGAGGAAGAGGAGCGCGGCGUUGACCGCGUAGGUGCUGAGGCAGACGAGGCAGAGGUCGCGGAGGCCGAAGGCCAACACCAGCGCCAGGUACAGCGAGGCCACCACCGACGUCACCGACGUCACCA
This 1466-nucleotide long non-coding RNA is filed under the name Numida meleagris (helmeted guineafowl). RNAcentral describes it as "lncRNA (ENSNMEG00000002269.1)". Lineage: Eukaryota; Metazoa; Chordata; Aves; Galliformes; Numididae. The record is from RNAcentral.